This 550-nucleotide ribosomal RNA is filed under the name Chloridium chloroconium. RNAcentral describes it as "eukaryotic LSU rRNA". It matches the Rfam family "Eukaryotic large subunit ribosomal RNA", at positions 37 to 597 of the family's 3401-position model. The record is from RNAcentral. RNAcentral also lists the same sequence under 1 other name. Lineage: Eukaryota; Fungi; Ascomycota; Sordariomycetes; Chaetosphaeriales; Chaetosphaeriaceae.
UGCAUAUCAAUAAGCGGAGGAAAAGAAACCAACAGGGAUUGCCCUAGUAACGGCGAGUGAAGCGGCAACAGCUCAAAUUUGAAAUCUGGCCUUCGGGUCCGAGUUGUAAUUUGCAGAGGAUGCUUCGGGUGAGGUGCCUUCCAAGUCCCCUGGAACGGGGCGCCGGAGAGGGUGAGAGCCCCGUACGGUUGGCGGCCAAGCCUGUGUGAAGCUCCUUCGACGAGUCGAGUAGUUUGGGAAUGCUGCUCUAAGCGGGAGGUAGACCCCUUCUAAAGCUAAAUACCGGCCAGAGACCGAUAGCGCACAAGUAGAGUGAUCGAAAGAUGAAAAGCACUUUGAAAAGAGGGUUAAACAGCACGUGAAAUUGUUGAAAGGGAAGCGCUUGUGACCAGACGUGCGCCGGGGUGUUCAGCGGGCGUUCUCGCCCGUGCACUCGCCUCGGCGCAGGCCAGCGUCGGUUUGGGUGGGGGGAUAAAGGCGCCUGGAAUGUAGCUCCUUCGGGAGUGUUAUAGCCAGGCGUGCCAUGCCUCCGUCCGGACCGAGGUACGCG